AUGAGGACCUCUUACGUCUGUCUCCUCCUCCUGUGCUGCUGUUCAUGGCUGUGCUGCCUCUCUCAAGCCCAGAUGUCAGUUAAUCCGCCCCUGAACCCGGUUUCUCAUCGCCCCCGAAUCCGGGCGGUGAACCUCGGCGGCUGGCUCGUCACUGAGGGCUGGAUCCUGCCCUCCCUCUUUGACGGCAUCCCCAACAAAGAUCUCCUGGAUGGCACGCAGCUGCAGUUCAAGUCUGUGACGCAGAAUGCCUAUGUGGCUGCCGAGCAGGGUGGCGGCGCGGCCCUCGUCGCGAACCGGGCUACCGCCUCGGGCUGGGAGACCUUCAAGCUCUGGCGGAUCGACCAGACGACCUUCAACUUCAAGGUGUUCGGCAACCAGUUUGUGGGCGUCGGGAGCACUGGCGUUGUGGUGGCGACGGUCACCACGCCGGGGCCAUCCGAGACGUUCAAGUUAGUGCGCAAUGACAACCAGAAUAGGAUGAGGAUCAGAGCACCAAAUGGGCUCUUCCUGCAGGCAAACAAAGAUGGUUCAUUGACGGCCGACUUUGGCGAGAGCACGAGCUGGGGCGACGAUGACCCGUCGGUGUUUGCGGUGACCAUGGUCGGGGGGCUGCAAGGAGAGUACCAAGUAUGCAAUGGCUACGGCACAGAGAAGGCUGCAGAGGUCAUGAGGAACCAUUGGAACACAUACAUCGUUGAAGAUGACUUCCGCUUUAUAGCGGCAAAUGGGCUCAAUGCUGUAAGGAUCCCGGUCGGAUGGUGGAUUGCCAGCGGUGCCAAUCCUCCGGCUCCGUACGUCGGAGGAUCGCUCCAAGCCUUGGACAAUGCUUUCAAAUGGGCAGAGGCCCACAAGCUAGGCGUGAUCAUAGACUUGCACGCAGCUCCUGGGGGGCAGAGCCCUAAUGAGCACAGCUCUACAAGGGACGGCACGCAGAGCUGGGGAACCACUGACUCCAACAUUGCGCAAACAGUGCAAGUGAUUGAUUUCCUCGCAGCUAGGUAUGCCAAGAGACCAAGCCUCCUCGCAGUGGAGCUAAUGAAUGAGCCACUGGCUCCCGGCGUGUCCCUAGAUAGCCUGAAAAGGUACUACCAAGACGCCUACAAGAAAGUCAGGAAGUACUCGCCCAAGACCUAUGUGAUCAUGUCCAACCGGCUGUCGGCACCUUCGACCGAGCUCCUCGAUUUUGCUGAAAAGUUUCCCAGAUCCGUCAUUGACGUGCACUACUACACGUUGUUCGACAACAAGUUCAAUAGUUUCACUGUGCAGCAGAACAUUGACUACGUGAGGAACACCAUCGCCGAUGAUCUCAGGAAAAUCACAAGGCGAAAUGGUGCUCUCACCUUUGUUGGCGAAUGGGUGGCCGAGUGGAAGGUACCUAGUGCAACGAAGGAAGACUACCAGAGAUUUGCGAAUGCACAAAUGGAGGUGUACCGGCAAGCCACAUUUGGAUGGGCUUAUUGGACCUACAAGAACGUUAACAACCACUGGAGUAUGGAGUGGAUGAUCAAGAAUAGAUACAUCUCCUUAACAAAUGCUUGA
Molecule: ribosomal RNA, 1539 nt
Filed under: Triticum aestivum (bread wheat)
Lineage: Eukaryota; Viridiplantae; Streptophyta; Magnoliopsida; Poales; Poaceae
Description: partial small subunit ribosomal RNA
Source: RNAcentral